Molecule: non-coding RNA, 424 nt
Organism: Oryctolagus cuniculus (rabbit)
Lineage: Eukaryota; Metazoa; Chordata; Mammalia; Lagomorpha; Leporidae
Source: RefSeq, a predicted model, not a curated record
GCCCAGUGCCGCCCUGGAGCUGGGGUGACAGUGAGGAAGCCACACCUGAGCAGGAGCUGGGAUGCACGUGGAGGCCUCGAGGGGUGCAGGAACGCAGGGUUCGUGAGUGCACCCCAGGAUCAGGCCAGCUGGAGCGAGAGAAAGAGUUUCAGCCAUGAAAUGUCACACCUGGCACACGGCUACACAUGGAGGCGCCCUGUGCCCGCUGGGGACGUGGUGCCCGGACACGGCAGGAAGGAAGUUGGCCCUUGCGAAACAUCUGGCAGGAAAUGUGCCUGGGGCUGGGAUCCUGCAUGCUGUGUGCACAGCAACUGAAGGCGGAGACAAGACACCCAGGGGCAGGAGUCAGCCCACUAGGAGGGCCACUAGGGAGGCCCCGUGUCCAUGAUGCUGGGUCCUGGCCCUGGGGAGAGGAGGGCGGAGC